RNAcentral lists this ribosomal RNA (410 nucleotides) under Bacillus cereus. RNAcentral describes it as "bacterial SSU rRNA". It matches the Rfam family "Bacterial small subunit ribosomal RNA", at positions 326 to 727 of the family's 1533-position model. The record is from RNAcentral. Lineage: Bacteria; Bacillati; Bacillota; Bacilli; Caryophanales; Bacillaceae.
UCGGCCCAGACUCCUACGGGAGGCAGCAGUAGGGAAUCUUCCGCAAUGGACGAAAGUCUGACGGAGCAACGCCGCGUGAGUGAUGAAGGCUUUCGGGUCGUAAAACUCUGUUGUUAGGGAAGAACAAGUGCUAGUUGAAUAAGCUGGCACCUUGACGGUACCUAACCAGAAAGCCACGGCUAACUACGUGCCAGCAGCCGCGGUAAUACGUAGGUGGCAAGCGUUAUCCGGAAUUAUUGGGCGUAAAGCGCGCGCAGGUGGUUUCUUAAGUCUGAUGUGAAAGCCCACGGCUCAACCGUGGAGGGUCAUUGGAAACUGGGAGACUUGAGUGCAGAAGAGGAAAGUGGAAUUCCAUGUGUAGCGGUGAAAUGCGUAGAGAUAUGGAGGAACACCAGUGGCGAAGGCGACUU